This 1320-nucleotide ribosomal RNA is filed under the name uncultured bacterium. Its description in RNAcentral is "bacterial SSU rRNA". It matches the Rfam family "Bacterial small subunit ribosomal RNA", at positions 61 to 1423 of the family's 1533-position model. The record is from RNAcentral.
GUCGAACGAGAAACCGUAUUUAUACGGCGGAAAGUGGCGGACGAGCGAGUAACACGUAGGAAUCUGCCCUGUACUCAGGGACAACUGGUCGAAAGAUCAGCUAAUACCGGAUAGUCUCGAAAGAGUAAAGAUUUAUCGGUACGGGAGGAGCCUGCGGCCUAUCAGCUUGUUGGUAAGGUAAUGGCUUACCAAGGCAAUGACGGGUAGCUGGUCUGAGAGGAUGAUCAGCCGCGAUGGGACUGAGACACGGCCCAUACUCCUACGGGAGGCAGCAGUGAGGAAUAUUCCGCAAUGGACGAAAGUCUGACGGAGCGACACCGCGUGGAGGACGACGGCCCUAUGGGUUGUAAACUCCUUUUAUGAGGGAAGAAGUUCUGACGGUACCUCAUGAAUAAGCCCCGGCUAAUUACGUGCCAGCAGCCGCGGGAAUACGUAAGGGGCAAGCGUUAUCCGGAAUUACUGGGCGUAAAGCGUCCGCAGGUUGUGCGAUAAGCAGAUUAUUAAAUACCGGUGCUCAACAUCGGUGCUGUAGUCUGAACUGUCGUGCUAGAGGAAUGCAGAGGAGUGUGGAAUUGUGCAAGUAGGGGUUAAAUCCGUAGAUAUGCACAGGAACACCAAAAGCGAAGGCAACACUCUGGGCAUUUCCUGACACUCAGGGACGAAAGUGUGGGGAGCAAAACGGAUUAGAUACCCGUGUAGUCCACGCCGUAAACGAUGCUGACUCGAUGUUGGGACCCUCGACCUGGUCUCAGCGUCCAAGAUAACUCGUUAAGUCAGCCGCCUGUGUAGUACGAGCGCAAGCUUAAAACACAAAGGAAUAGACGGGGACCCACACAAGCGGUGGAUCGCGGGGUUUAAUGCGAUAAUAAGCGCGUAACCUUACCUAGGCUUGACAUCCUGAUCGUAUGUCUUAGAAACAAGAUAGUCAGUUCGGCUGGAUCAGUGACAGGUGCUGCAUGGUUGUCGUCAGCUCGUGCCUUGAGGUGUUCGGUUAAGUCCGUUAACGAGCGCAACCCUCGUCGUGUGUUGUAUUUUCACACGAGACUGCCGGUUAUAAACCGGAGGAAGGUGAGGAUGACGUCAAAUCCGCAUGGCCCUUAUGCCUAGGGCUACACCCACGAUACAAUGGCACGCACAAACCGAAGCAAAGCGGCAACGCCUAGCCAAUCGGAUAAAACGUGUCUCAGUUCGGAUCGGAGUCUGCAACUCGACUCCGUGAAGCCGGAAUCGCUAGUAAACGUAUAUCAGUCAUGGUACGUUGAAUAUGUUCCUGGGUCUUGUACUCACCGCCCGUCAAGGCACGGAAGUUGGGGGUGCCCG